AACGAACGCUGGCGGCAGGCCUAACACAUGCAAGUCGAGCGAUGACUUCGGUCCUAGCGGCGGACGGGUGAGUAACGCGUGGGAACGUGCCCUUUGCUUCGGAAUAGCCCUGGGAAACUGGGAGUAAUACCGGAUGAGCCCUUUUGGGGAAAGAUUUAUCGGCGAAGGAUCGGCCCGCGUUGGAUUAGGUAGUUGGUGGGGUAAUGGCCUACCAAGCCGACGAUCCAUAGCUGGUUUGAGAGGAUGAUCAGCCACACUGGGACUGAGACACGGCCCAGACUCCUACGGGAGGCAGCAGUGGGGAAUCUUAGACAAUGGGGGAAACCCUGAUCUAGCCAUGCCGCGUGAGCGAUGAAGGCCUUAGGGUUGUAAAGCUCUUUCAGCUGGGAAGAUAAUGACGGUACCAGCAGAAGAAGCCCCGGCUAACUCCGUG
RNAcentral lists this ribosomal RNA (433 nucleotides) under uncultured bacterium. RNAcentral's name for it is "partial 16S ribosomal RNA". It matches the Rfam family "Bacterial small subunit ribosomal RNA", at positions 29 to 507 of the family's 1533-position model. The record is from RNAcentral.